GAGUCAGUAGUGCAACGGGUCAGAGCAUGCGUUCCCAGAUAGAGUGAGAUGUGAGUUCGAGUCUCGCCUGACACG
Parelaphostrongylus tenuis is the source of this 75-nucleotide non-coding RNA. The record is from the annotation of a GenBank genome assembly. NCBI's taxonomy places the organism in Eukaryota, Metazoa, Nematoda, Chromadorea, Rhabditida, Metastrongylidae.